UGGGGGGCAAGUUGUCGAUGACGAAGUCUGACGGAGCACGCCGCGUGAGUGAUGAAGGCUUUCGGGUCGUAAAACUCUGUUGUUAGGGAAGAACAAGUGCUAGUUGAAUAAGCUGGCACCUUGACGGUACCUAACCAGAAAGCCACGGCUAACUACGUGCCAGCAGCCGCGGUAAUACGUAGGUGGCAAGCGUUAUCCGGAAUUAUUGGGCGUAAAGCGCGCGCAGGUGGUUUCUUAAGUCUGAUGUGAAAGCCCACGGCUCAACCGUGGAGGGUCAUUGGAAACUGGGAGACUUGAGUGCAGAAGAGGAAAGUGGAAUUCCAUGUGUAGCGGUGAAAUGCGUAGAGAUAUGGAGGAACACCAGUGGCGAAGGCGACUUUCUGGUCUGUAACUGACACUGAGGCGCGAAAGCGUGGGGAGCAAACAGGAUUAGAUACCCCGGUAGUCAAAU
RNAcentral lists this ribosomal RNA (451 nucleotides) under Bacillus sp. (in: firmicutes). RNAcentral's name for it is "bacterial SSU rRNA". It matches the Rfam family "Bacterial small subunit ribosomal RNA", at positions 352 to 799 of the family's 1533-position model. Lineage: Bacteria; Bacillati; Bacillota; Bacilli; Caryophanales; Bacillaceae. The record is from RNAcentral.